GACGAACGCUGGCGGCGUGCUUAACACAUGCAAGUCGAGCGGUAAGGCCCUUUCGGGGGUACACGAGCGGCGAACGGGUGAGUAACACGUGGGUGACCCGCCCUCAGCUCUGGGAUAAGCCUGGGAAACCGGGUCUAAUACCGGAUAUGACUCCAUGACGCAUGUUGUGGGGUGGAAAGCCUUGUGCGGCUGAGGAUGGGCCCGCGGCCUAUCAGCUUGUUGGUGGGGUGAUGGCCACCAAGGCGACGACGGGUAGCCGGCCUGAGAGGGCGACCGGCCACACUGGGACUGAGACACGGCCCAGACUCCUACGGGAGGCAGCAGUGGGGAAUCUUGCGCAAUGGGCGAAAGCCUGACGCAGCGACGCCGCGUGAGGGAUGACGGCCUGGUGU
RNAcentral lists this ribosomal RNA (392 nucleotides) under uncultured bacterium. Its description in RNAcentral is "bacterial SSU rRNA". It matches the Rfam family "Bacterial small subunit ribosomal RNA", at positions 28 to 422 of the family's 1533-position model. The record is from RNAcentral.